RNAcentral lists this ribosomal RNA (711 nucleotides) under Staphylococcus gallinarum. Its description in RNAcentral is "bacterial SSU rRNA". It matches the Rfam family "Bacterial small subunit ribosomal RNA", at positions 121 to 819 of the family's 1533-position model. The record is from RNAcentral. Lineage: Bacteria; Bacillati; Bacillota; Bacilli; Caryophanales; Staphylococcaceae.
GUAACCUACCUAUAAGACUGGAAUAACUCCGGGAAACCGGGGCUAAUGCCGGAUAACAUAUAGAACCGCAUGGUUCUAUAGUGAAAGAUGGUUUUGCUAUCACUUAUAGAUGGACCCGCGCCGUAUUAGCUAGUUGGUAAGGUAAUGGCUUACCAAGGCGACGAUACGUAGCCGACCUGAGAGGGUGAUCGGCCACACUGGAACUGAGACACGGUCCAGACUCCUACGGGAGGCAGCAGUAGGGAAUCUUCCGCAAUGGGCGAAAGCCUGACGGAGCAACGCCGCGUGAGUGAUGAAGGGUUUCGGCUCGUAAAACUCUGUUAUUAGGGAAGAACAUAUGUGUAAGUAACUGUGCACAUCUUGACGGUACCUAAUCAGAAAGCCACGGCUAACUACGUGCCAGCAGCCGCGGUAAUACGUAGGUGGCAAGCGUUAUCCGGAAUUAUUGGGCGUAAAGCGCGCGUAGGCGGUUUCUUAAGUCUGAUGUGAAAGCCCACGGCUCAACCGUGGAGGGUCAUUGGAAACUGGGAAACUUGAGUGCAGAAGAGGAAAGUGGAAUUCCAUGUGUAGCGGUGAAAUGCGCAGAGAUAUGGAGGAACACCAGUGGCGAAGGCGACUUUCUGGUCUGUAACUGACGCUGAUGUGCGAAAGCGUGGGGAUCAAACAGGAUUAGAUACCCUGGUAGUCCACGCCGUAAACGAUGAGUGCUAA